GCCAGCAUGGCUCAGUGGUUGAGCACCAACCUGCGAACCAGGAGGUCACGGUUCGAUUCCGGGUCAGGGCA
RNAcentral lists this transfer RNA (71 nucleotides) under Myotis brandtii (Brandt's bat). It matches the Rfam family "tRNA". From Rfam's summary of the family: Transfer RNA (tRNA) molecules are approximately 80 nucleotides in length. Their secondary structure includes four short double-helical elements and three loops (D, anti-codon, and T loops). The record is from Rfam by way of RNAcentral. Lineage: Eukaryota; Metazoa; Chordata; Mammalia; Chiroptera; Vespertilionidae.